AUGAACGCUAGCGAAUGCCUAACACAAUGCAAAGUCGACGGAUCUUGCGUCGUAGCAAUACGUAGUAAGAUUAGUGGCAAACGAGCGAGUAACGCGUGCUUAACUUGCCCCGAAGAUGGGUAUACUGCAGAGAUGUAGCUAAUUCCCAAUAUGCUCACGAUGGUGAAAUUCCAAUGUGAGGAAAGAUUUAUCGCUUCGGGAGAGUGGUGCGUCCAUCAGGUAGUUGGUAAGGUAACGGCUUACCAAGCCUAUGACGGGUAACCGGUCUGAGAUGAUGUCCGGUCGCGAUGGGACUGAGAUACGGCCCAUACUCCUACGGGAGGCAGCAGUGGGGAAUCUUGCACAAUGGACGAAAGUCUGAUGCAGCAAUUUCGCGUGAAGGAUGAAGCAUUACGGUGGUAAACUUCUUUUUUGGCAGAAGACGAAUGACGGUAUGUCAAGAAUAAGAG
RNAcentral lists this ribosomal RNA (449 nucleotides) under candidate division SR1 bacterium taxon 345. Its description in RNAcentral is "bacterial SSU rRNA". It matches the Rfam family "Bacterial small subunit ribosomal RNA", at positions 29 to 492 of the family's 1533-position model. Lineage: Bacteria; Candidatus Absconditibacteriota. The record is from RNAcentral.